UCAAGAUCGUGGUAUGUCUGACC
RNAcentral lists this non-coding RNA (23 nucleotides) under Arabidopsis thaliana (thale cress). Lineage: Eukaryota; Viridiplantae; Streptophyta; Magnoliopsida; Brassicales; Brassicaceae. The record is from RNAcentral.